RNAcentral lists this small nuclear RNA (240 nucleotides) under Pogona vitticeps (central bearded dragon). Its description in RNAcentral is "7SK RNA (ENSPVIG00000002019.1)". The stretch from base 1 to 204 matches the Rfam family "7SK RNA". Rfam says of the family: 7SK was discovered as an abundant small nuclear RNA in the mid-70s but a possible function has only recently been suggested. Two independent studies have found that 7SK RNA binds the CDK9/cyclin T complex (known as elongation factor P-TEFb). P-TEFb activates transcription by phosphorylating the C-terminal domain of RNA polymerase II. The record is from RNAcentral. Lineage: Eukaryota; Metazoa; Chordata; Lepidosauria; Squamata; Agamidae.
GGAUGAGAGGGCAAUCUGGCUGCAACAACUGUCAUGCCAUUGAUCGCCAGGGUUGAUUCGGCUGAUCUGACUGGCUAAGCAGGUGUCCCUUGCCUCCCUCACCUCUCCAUGUGCAUCCCUCUAGAAACUGCACACUUGGUGGAAGAGGACGACCAUCCCAUAAUAGAAGGAGUGUACCGUUCUUCAGUCAAGGGUAUACAGUAACCAAAACUGCUGGUUAUAUCCAUCACCCUAGUUGGU